RNAcentral lists this small nuclear RNA (147 nucleotides) under Catagonus wagneri (Chacoan peccary). Lineage: Eukaryota; Metazoa; Chordata; Mammalia; Artiodactyla; Tayassuidae. The record is from RNAcentral.
GCGCUCACUUCGGCAGCACAUAAACUAAAACUGGAACCAUAGAGCAUAGAUGCUAAAAUUGGAACAAUACAUAUGCUAAAAUUGGAACAAUCAGCAGGGCCCCUGCACAAGGAUGGCAUGCAAAUCUGUGAAGCACUCCAUAUUUUU